UAGCCGUAAACGAUACUCGCUAGGUGUCGGCCACGGUGCGACCGUUGUCGGUGCCGUAGGGAAGCCGUGAAGCGAGCCACCUGGGAAGUACGGCCGCAAGGCUGAAACUUAAAGGAAUUGGCGGGGGAGCACCGCAACGGGAGGAGCGUGCGGUUCAAUUGGAUUCAACGCCGGACAACUCACCAGGAGCGACGGUUACAUGAAGGCCAGGCUGAUGACCUUGCCUGAUUUUUCCGAGAGGUGGUGCAUGGCGUAGACGUCU
Molecule: ribosomal RNA, 262 nt
Filed under: uncultured archaeon
Lineage: Archaea
Description: partial 16S ribosomal RNA
Rfam family: Archaeal small subunit ribosomal RNA
Source: RNAcentral